UCCCAGGUCCCGAGGGAAGUUCGCCCUCUAACUCCGUCAGGACCGAAAGGUAGCAGCGGCAUGAGGUGCCGUUCCUCGCCUCGUCAGACCUGGGAUAU
Molecule: signal recognition particle RNA, 98 nt
Filed under: Gemmatimonadaceae bacterium
Lineage: Bacteria; Pseudomonadati; Gemmatimonadota; Gemmatimonadia; Gemmatimonadales; Gemmatimonadaceae
Also listed under: 2 other names
Description: signal recognition particle sRNA small type
Rfam family: Bacterial small signal recognition particle RNA
About the family: The signal recognition particle (SRP) is a universally conserved ribonucleoprotein involved in the co-translational targeting of proteins to membranes. Archaeal SRP consists of a 7S RNA and homologues of the eukaryotic SRP19 and SRP54 proteins.
Source: RNAcentral